AGGGCGUUAGCUCAAUUGGUAGAGUAGCGGUCUCCAAAACCGUUGGUUGAAGGUUCAAGUCCCUCACGCCCUGCCA
Molecule: transfer RNA, 76 nt
Filed under: Pedosphaera sp.
Lineage: Bacteria; Pseudomonadati; Verrucomicrobiota; Pedosphaerae; Pedosphaerales; Pedosphaeraceae
Also listed under: 1 other name
Description: tRNA-Trp
Rfam family: tRNA
About the family: Transfer RNA (tRNA) molecules are approximately 80 nucleotides in length. Their secondary structure includes four short double-helical elements and three loops (D, anti-codon, and T loops). Further hydrogen bonds mediate the characteristic L-shaped molecular structure. tRNAs have two regions of fundamental functional importance: the anti-codon, which is responsible for specific mRNA codon recognition, and the 3' end, to which the tRNAs corresponding amino acid is attached (by aminoacyl-tRNA synthetases). tRNAs cope with the degeneracy of the genetic code in two manners: having more than one tRNA (with a specific anti-codon) for a particular amino acid; and 'wobble' base-pairing, i.e. permitting non-standard base-pairing at the 3rd anti-codon position.
Source: RNAcentral